RNAcentral lists this ribosomal RNA (433 nucleotides) under uncultured bacterium. Its description in RNAcentral is "partial 16S ribosomal RNA". It matches the Rfam family "Bacterial small subunit ribosomal RNA", at positions 29 to 507 of the family's 1533-position model. The record is from RNAcentral.
AACGAACGCUGGCGGCAUGCCUAACACAUGCAAGUCGAACGAGACCUCCGGGUCUAGUGGCGCACGGGUGCGUAACGCGUGGGAACCUGCCCUCAGGUUCGGAAUAACUCCCCGACAGGGGUGAUAAUACCGGAUAAUAGCUUCGGACCAAAGAUUUAUCGCCUUUGGAUGGGCCCGCGUUGGAUUAGCUCGUUGGUAGGGUAAAAGCCUACCAAGGCGACGAUCCAUAGCUGGUCUGAGAGGAUGAUCAGCCACACUGGGACUGAGACACGGCCCAGACUCCUACGGGAGGCAGCAGUGGGGAAUAUUGGACAAUGGGCGAAAGCCUGAUCCAGCAAUGCCGCGUGAGUGAUGAAGGCCUUAGGGUUGUAAAGCUCUUUUACCCGGGAUGAUAUUGACAGUACCGGGAGAAUAAGCUCCGGCUAACUCCGUG